UUCUGGCUCAGGAUUAACGCUGGCGGCGUGCCUAAUACAUGCAAGUCGAAUGGUAGCAAUACCAUGGCGAACGGGUGAGGUAACACGUAGGUUAACCUGGUCUUUAAGCCGAGGAUAACCAUUGGAAACGAUGGAUAAUACUGGAUAGGACAUUUGAAGGCAUCUUUUAAUGUUUAAAGAUUUAUCACUUAGAGAGGGGCCUGCGGCGCGAUUAGCUAGUUGGUGAGGUGAAGGCUUACCAAGGCGAUGAUGCGUAGCCGGACUGAGAGGUUGAACGGCCACAAUGGAACUGAGAAUGGUCCAUACUCCUACGGGAGGCAGCAGUAGGGAAUUUUCGGCAAUGGGCGGAAGCCUGAACCCGAGCAACGCCGCGUGAACGAAGAAGUAUUUCGGUAUGUAAAGUUCUUUUAUUAGGGACGAAAAGACAGAUUGACGGUACCUAAUGAAUAAGCUCCGGCUAACUACGUGCCAGCCGCUGC
This 479-nucleotide ribosomal RNA is filed under the name uncultured bacterium. Its description in RNAcentral is "bacterial SSU rRNA". It matches the Rfam family "Bacterial small subunit ribosomal RNA", at positions 17 to 518 of the family's 1533-position model. The record is from RNAcentral.